GACCGCGAUAUAUCUAUAUGCCGUGCGGUUUCCCACCCUUGACUGAGCGUGAUUCGAAUCUCGCAAGGGAGCGGACCCUAUGAAAACCCAGCAACGGCGCCUUUUAACGGUCCUGGCCUUUUGCUGAUUUGGCAAGCGAAGAGAUUAGUCCACACCGUAAACGAUGGAUACUAGGUGUAGGGUGUGAUAAACAUUCUGUGCCGUCGCAAACGCAGUAAGUAUCCCACCUGGGGAGUACGGCCGCAAGGUUGAAACUCAAAGGAAUUGACGGGGGCCCGCACAAGCAGUGGAGUAUGUGGUUUAAUUCGAAGCAACGCGAAGAACCUUACCAGGGCUUGACAUAUACAGGAAUAUUUAAGAGAUUAGAUAGUUCUUCGGAACCUGUAUACAGGUGGUGCAUGGUUGUCGUCAGCUCGUGUCGUGAGAUGUUAGGUUAAGUCCUGCAACGAGCGCAACCCCUAUACUUAGUUGCCAGCAUGUAAAGAUGGGAACUCUAGGUAGACUGCCGGUGAUAAAUCGGAGGAAGGUGGGGACGACGUCAAAUCAUCAUGCCCUUUAUGUCCUGGGCUACACACGUACUACAAUGGCUAUUACAAAGGGAAGCAAUACAGUGAUGUGGAGCAAAACCCAAAAAAGUAGUCUCAGUUCGGAUUGAAGUCUGAAAUUCGACUUCAUGAAGCCGGAAUUGCUAGUAAUGGCAGGUCAGCAUACUGCCGUGAAUACGUUCCCGGGCCUUGUACACACCGCCCGUCACACCAUGAGAGUUGGGAAUACCCGAAGCCUGUGAGCCAACAGUUAAACGAGGCAGCAGUCGAAGGUAGAAUCAAUGAUUGGGGUGAAGUCGUAACAAGGUAAAUCCCCCC
This 863-nucleotide ribosomal RNA is filed under the name uncultured bacterium. Its description in RNAcentral is "bacterial SSU rRNA". It matches the Rfam family "Bacterial small subunit ribosomal RNA", at positions 656 to 1507 of the family's 1533-position model. The record is from RNAcentral.